GAAAUGCGAUAAGUAAUGUGAAUUGCAGAAUUCAGUGAAUCAUCGAAUCUUUGAACGCACCUUGCGCUCCCCGGUAUUCCGAGGAGCAUGCCUGUUUGAGUGUCGUGAAAUUCUCAACCUACAGACCCUUGCGGUUCUGCAGGCUUGGAUUUGGAGGCUUGCUGGCUUUUACAGUCGGCUCCUCUUAAAAGCAUUAGCUCGUUCCUUGCGGAUCGGCUCUCGGUGUGAUAAUUGUCUACGCCGUGGCUGUGAAGCGUUCGGAGGGCUUCUAAUCGUCUCGUUAGAGACAGCUUCAUUUGACAUCUGACCUCAAAUCAGGUAGGACUACCCGCUGAACUUAA
Molecule: unclassified non-coding RNA, 341 nt
Filed under: uncultured Grammothele
Lineage: Eukaryota; Fungi; Basidiomycota; Agaricomycetes; Polyporales; Polyporaceae
Description: sequence contains ITS1
Rfam family: 5.8S ribosomal RNA (bases 1-105)
Source: RNAcentral